ACGGAAAUACCCCCGGGAAACUGGGGCUAAUGUCCGAUAGGCGAAGAACUCUGGAAUGAGUCUUCACUUAAACGGCGCUAGAGUUAUGCUCUUUGGCGAUGCUUAAGGAUGGGGCCGCGACCGAUCAGGUUGUUGGUGAGGUAACGGCUCACCAAGCCUUUUACCGGUGCGGGCCGUGGGAGCGGGAGCCCGGAGAUGGGCACUGAGACAAGGGCCCAGGCCCUACGGGGCGCAGCAGUCGCGAAAACUUUGCAAUAAGCGAAAGCUUGACAGGGCUAUCCCGAGUGCCAUCCGCUGAGGAAGGCUUUUACCCAGUCUAGAACGCUGGGGGAAUAAGGAGAGGGCAAGUCUGGUGUCAGCCGCCGCGGUAAUACCAGCUCUCCGAGUGGUGUGGAUGUUUAUUGGGCCUAAAGCAUCCGUAGCUGGCUAGGUUAGUCCCCUGUUAAAUCCACCGAAUUAAUCGUUGGAUUGCGGGGGAUACUGCUUGGCUAGGGAACGAGAGAGGCAGACGGUAUUUCCGGGGUAGGGGUGAAAUCCUAUAAUCCCGGGAAGACCACCAGUGGCGAAGGCUGUCUGCUAGAACGCGUCCGACGGUGAGGGAUGAAAGCUGGGGGAGCGAACCGGAUUA
This 628-nucleotide ribosomal RNA is filed under the name uncultured archaeon. Its description in RNAcentral is "bacterial SSU rRNA". It matches the Rfam family "Archaeal small subunit ribosomal RNA", at positions 120 to 731 of the family's 1478-position model. The record is from RNAcentral.